ACUAGAGCCAAAUCUAUCUCAAAAGUUUAGGUCAUUUUUGUUUUCCUUUUUGAUAGCAUUCAAUGAGAAACAACACUUUAAAUAAAACUUUUUCCAUGAGGAAGGUAUAGUAAUUAUCCAC
This 121-nucleotide long non-coding RNA is filed under the name Piliocolobus tephrosceles (Ugandan red Colobus). The record is from RNAcentral. Lineage: Eukaryota; Metazoa; Chordata; Mammalia; Primates; Cercopithecidae.